ACCAACAGGGAUUGCCCUAGUAACGGCGAGUGAAGCGGCAACAGCUCAAAUUUGAAAUCUGGCUCUUUCAGAGUCCGAGUUGUAAUUUGCAGAGGGCGCUUUGGCGUUGGCAGCGGUCCAAGUUCCUUGGAACAGGACGUCACAGAGGGUGAGAAUCCCGUACGUGGUCGCUGGCCUUCGCCGUGUAAAGCCCCUUCGACGAGUCGAGUUGUUUGGGAAUGCAGCUCUAAAUGGGAGGUAAAUUUCUUCUAAAGCUAAAUACUGGCCAGAGACCGAUAGCGCACAAGUAGAGUGAUCGAAAGAUGAAAAGCACUUUGGAAAGAGAGUCAAAUAGCACGUGAAAUUGUUGAAAGGGAAGCGCUUGCAGCCAGACUUGCCUGUAGUUGCUCAUCCGGGCUUUUGCCCGGUGCACUCUUCUGCGGGCAGGCCAGCAUCAGUUUGGGCGGUUGGAUAAAGGUCUCUGUCAUGUACCUCUCUUCGGGGAGGCCUUAUAGGGGAGACGUCAUGCAACCAGCCUGGACUGAGGUCCGCGCAUUUAUGCUAGGAUGCUGGCGUAAUGGCUGUAAGCGGCCCGUCUUGAAACACGGACCAAGGAGUCUAACAUCUAUGCGAGUGUUUGGGUGUCAAGCCCGAACGCGUAAUGAAAGUGAACGGAGGUGGGACCCCAUUAGGGUGCACCAUCGACCGAUCCUGAUGUCUUCGGAUGGAUUUGAGUAAGAGCAUGGCUGUUGGGACCCGAAAGAUGGUGAACUAUGCUUGAAUAGGGUGAAGCCAGAGGAAACUCUGGUGGAGGCUCGCAGCGGUUCUGACGUGCAAAUCGAUCGUCAAAUUUGGGCAUAGGGGCGAAAGACUAAUCGAACUAUCUAGUAGCUGGUUCCUGCCG
This 883-nucleotide ribosomal RNA is filed under the name cf. Camarosporidiella aborescentis. RNAcentral describes it as "eukaryotic LSU rRNA". It matches the Rfam family "Eukaryotic large subunit ribosomal RNA", at positions 64 to 963 of the family's 3401-position model. The record is from RNAcentral. Lineage: Eukaryota; Fungi; Ascomycota; Dothideomycetes; Pleosporales.